CCUACGGGUGGCAGCAGUGGGGAAUAUUGGGCAAUGGGCGCAAGCCUGACCCAGCAACGCCGCGUGAAGGAAGAAGGCUUUCGGGUUGUAAACUUCUUUUGUCAGGGACGAAGCAAGUGACGGUACCUGACGAAUAAGCCAUGGCUAACUACGUGCCAGCAGCCGCGGUAAUACGUGGGGGGCAAGCCUUAUCCGGAUUUACUGGGUGUAAAGGGGGUGUAGGCGGGACUGCAAGUCAGAUGUGAAAACCACGGGCUCAAACUGUGGCCUGCCUUUGAAACUGUAGUUCUUGAGUACUGGAGAGGCAGACGGAAUUCCUAGUGUAGCGGUGAAAUGCGUAGAUAUUAGGAGGAACACCAGUGGCGAAGGCGGUAUGCUGGACAGCAACUGACGCUGAGGCGCGAAAGCGUGGGGAGCAAACAGGAUUAGAUACCCUUGUAGUC
This 443-nucleotide ribosomal RNA is filed under the name uncultured bacterium. RNAcentral's name for it is "partial 16S ribosomal RNA". It matches the Rfam family "Bacterial small subunit ribosomal RNA", at positions 338 to 795 of the family's 1533-position model. The record is from RNAcentral.